Molecule: small RNA, 115 nt
Filed under: Drosophila pseudoobscura pseudoobscura
Lineage: Eukaryota; Metazoa; Arthropoda; Insecta; Diptera; Drosophilidae
Description: GA31558
Source: RNAcentral
UAUCCCCAUUGACACCCUCCUGCCUGCCACCAAAAGGACCAUCGUGAAGAGCGGUACGGGUUCAACGUCAAUCUUCAGGCUGGAGGACUCCAUAAUAAAUCAUUUUUUAAAUAAC